Molecule: ribosomal RNA, 783 nt
Filed under: Streptomyces sp. D50
Lineage: Bacteria; Bacillati; Actinomycetota; Actinomycetes; Kitasatosporales; Streptomycetaceae
Description: bacterial SSU rRNA
Rfam family: Bacterial small subunit ribosomal RNA
Source: RNAcentral
UCUUACCAUGCAAGUCGAACGAUGAACCGCUUUCGGGCGGGGAUUAGUGGCGAACGGGUGAGUAACACGUGGGCAAUCUGCCCUGCACUCUGGGACAAGCCCUGGAAACGGGGUCUAAUACCGGAUAUGACCGUCUGCCGCAUGGUGGAUGGUGUAAAGCUCCGGCGGUGCAGGAUGAGCCCGCGGCCUAUCAGCUUGUUGGUGAGGUAGUGGCUCACCAAGGCGACGACGGGUAGCCGGCCUGAGAGGGCGACCGGCCACACUGGGACUGAGACACGGCCCAGACUCCUACGGGAGGCAGCAGUGGGGAAUAUUGCACAAUGGGCGAAAGCCUGAUGCAGCGACGCCGCGUGAGGGAUGACGGCCUUCGGGUUGUAAACCUCUUUCAGCAGGGAAGAAGCGAAAGUGACGGUACCUGCAGAAGAAGCGCCGGCUAACUACGUGCCAGCAGCCGCGGUAAUACGUAGGGCGCAAGCGUUGUCCGGAAUUAUUGGGCGUAAAGAGCUCGUAGGCGGCUUGUCACGUCGGUUGUGAAAGCCCGGGGCUUAACCCCGGGUCUGCAGUCGAUACGGGCAGGCUAGAGUUCGGUAGGGGAGAUCGGAAUUCCUGGUGUAGCGGUGAAAUGCGCAGAUAUCAGGAGGAACACCGGUGGCGAAGGCGGAUCUCUGGGCCGAUACUGACGCUGAGGAGCGAAAGCGUGGGGAGCGAACAGGAUUAGAUACCCUGGUAGUCCACGCCGUAAACGGUGGGCACUAGGUGUGGGCAACAUUCCACGUUGUCCGU